This is a long non-coding RNA of Talpa occidentalis (Iberian mole), 1197 nucleotides long. RefSeq lists it as uncharacterized. Lineage: Eukaryota; Metazoa; Chordata; Mammalia; Eulipotyphla; Talpidae. The transcript has 3 exons. The record is from RefSeq and is a predicted model, not a curated record.
GUUUUAGAAUCUUUCACCCCUGGAAUGUUAGACUUCUGGACUCUAGUUCAGCAGGGCCUCUAGCAGCAGCUGAAAUGCCUCUUUGGAUUAUCUGCAUCAGUGAGUGAGGAUGGAAAACGGAGCAGCAGGGCGUGGAUGCUCUGGAAUAAAUGAGGCUUCUCCAGGGGGCUCUCCUCCCAGGGGACCAGGGAGCUAUCAGGCCUCCUGUUCCCAUGUGAUGGCUGAACCAUCUCCUCCUGCUGGAGCCCAGUGCUCAUGCUGCCCCUCUUCUGCUCAAGAACCUGCUGUGGCUGGACAGUGCAUCAUGUCCACUGCCUCCACCUCCCCUUCAGCCAGCCCCCACCUCCCACCUUUCCUCUGGCUCACCCAGACUGCCUCCUCCGUGAAGCCCUCCCUGACAACCUCAGCUCAUUCCAACCUUCCCUCUCUUAGCGGCCAGCAUCAGACACUGAGGGCAUCAUGUCUUCUCAUUGAAUGGGCACUGGAAGCAGAUAAACCACAGACCUGCUCUGCCCCUUCCUGCCUGUGUGAUCCUGAGCAAGCGUCUUCACCUCUCUGAGCGGGUUUGCCUUGACAUAUGGGACAAAACAAUUUCUGCUCACAGGACUGUAGUGUUUUGCAGGCUUGACUUGCCCAGUCCGAUCCUAUGGCCCAGAUUUGUGUUUCAAGCAGUGGCCCUGGCAAGGCUGCGGCUCCAGUGGACUUUCCCCUAGCAUCCGGCACAUCCAGCCCUGUCCUCUGAGGCAUUUACUCGAUUCUCCCUGGCAAGAGUCUUCCGGCCUUUUUGCCACCUUGGAACUACUGGGGCCCAGUGGAGAGUCAGGAUGGGCUGAGGGCCUGGUGAUAGGGUGGGCGGUGGUGCUUCAGCCAGGGAUGAGGAAGAACUGGGCACAGGCAGGAACUCCCAGCCUUCUAGCGAGGAGCUCCUGAUCUGAGAGGGGUGCGAGGCUAGUGGCUGUGCAAGGGCACAGCAGAGAGCCCCCUAAGAGGUGGCAGGGUGGGGCCAGACAGGAGUGAUGGGAGAUCCUGCUGAUGCCAGGUGAGCAGGAGGCACUGCUGGUUAGUAAAUGGCCACUGGCCUGCCCGAGUGUCUCUGACUGGCCUGCCACCCCCUGCUCGGAGGCCGUUAGGUCUAACACUAAAGCCACCCUUGAUUCUCAUUGGUCUGACCAGUUGAUAAAUAUUUUGAAUAUCAAC